CCAGAGGUCCUGCGUGGUGUCCAGCCCCUGCCAGAAGCCCUGCUACUACCCCAGGAGCUACACACCCUGCAGUCCCUGCCAGGGGACAUAUGCUGGCUCCCUGAGCUUUGGGUCCAGAAGCUGCAGUUCCCUGGGUUAUGGAUCUAGAAUCUGCUACCCAGUGAGCUGUGGAAGCAGUGGCUUCAGAUCCCUGAAUUGUGGAGUCUAUGACUUCCCUUCCCUGGGUUAUGGGUCUAGAACCUACUACCCAGUGUAUGUGGAUUCUACACGAUUUCAACCUUCUUGUUAUACAUCAAUCUGUGGCACUGGCUUCUAGAAAUUAAACAGUUAGGUCUCUGUAUUCUUACAAUAUCAAAAUCGAAUUCUAUACAUCCUGUAGACAUGUUUACUCAUUAUCUUCUAUCAUUUUUCCUUUGUCUUUCCACUAAUGAUUUUUUUUCCUCUUCUACUUCUGUUAGAAUAUUAGAUUAUUGUGCAUUCCCUAUUAGGCCUCAAAUAUUAUGCUAUUGAAAUCAGCUAUUUCAUGUUCAAUCCAUCCUACUUGAAAACUGAAAUUUUAAUCCAAUAAAUUUGCGCAAUCUGAACCCUC
RNAcentral lists this long non-coding RNA (589 nucleotides) under Rattus norvegicus (Norway rat). RNAcentral describes it as "long non-coding RNA NONRATT006838". Lineage: Eukaryota; Metazoa; Chordata; Mammalia; Rodentia; Muridae. The record is from RNAcentral.